CCUACGGGAGGCAGCAGUGGGGAAUUUUCCGCAAUGGGCGAAAGCCUGACGGAGCAAUACCGCGUGAGGGAAGAAAGCCUACUGGGUUGUAAACCUCUUUUUUCAGGGAGGAAAAAAUGACGUGUACCUGAAGAAUAAGCAUCGGCUAACUCCGUGCCAGCAGCCGCGGUAAGACGGAGGAUGCAAGUGUUAUCCGGAAUUACUGGGCGUAAAGCGUCUGUAGGUGGUUUAAUAAGUCAACUGUUAAAUCUUGAGGCUUAACUUCAAAACAGCAGUCGAAACUAUUAGACUAGAGUAUAGUAGGGGUAAAGGGAAUUUCCAGUGGAGCGGUGAAAUGCGUAGAUAUUGGAAAGAACACCGAUGGCGAAAGCACUUUACUGGGCUAUUACUAACACUCAGAGACGAAAGCUAGGGUAGCAAAUGGGAUUAGAUACCCCAGUAGUCCUAGCUGUAAACAAUGGAUACUAGAUGUUGAACAGAUCGACCUGUGCAGUAUUAAAGCUAACGCGUUAAGUAUCCCGCCUGGGAAGUAUGCUCGCAGAGUAGAACUACAAGAAGUAGUAGACGUGAGAGAGCGACGACGACGACGACGGAGGAGAG
Molecule: ribosomal RNA, 600 nt
Filed under: uncultured bacterium
Lineage: Bacteria
Description: bacterial SSU rRNA
Rfam family: Bacterial small subunit ribosomal RNA
Source: RNAcentral